Molecule: non-coding RNA, 336 nt
Organism: Danio rerio (zebrafish)
Lineage: Eukaryota; Metazoa; Chordata; Actinopteri; Cypriniformes; Danionidae
Source: Ensembl
AAAUUGCCCUUGUAAAACAGUAUUUCCCAUUUUGUCUUAAUUGUGCCGCUACAGUGAACGACACUAUACCGUAUAUAACACUAAAAACAAUUAGGCAAACACUACUCAUAAAUCACGUAACAAUGUGCGAUUUUAAAAGGGUAACUACUAGUAUUUAAUAGCGACAACAGAAGACAGACUUCUAAUUGUUUGGUUUAAAACAAGCAUGCAGGAAUGUGACAAUUAAAAAUAAUGGCUGACUGAUGUUUAAAGAAACAUAUAAAACGUAUAGUAAUAGGCUAGUAAAGUAAGUUAAAAAGCUGUCUUUCCAUGUAGGCAGAGGCCUUUUUGAGUGAA